GUAAUGGGGGUGGGAAAAAGGAGUGAUGUCUGUGAGGUGAUAUUAAAAAUCACUUACAUUUCACAGGUUCCCAUAAAAGGGAGACUUGUGCAAAAUAAUUAAUCAUGCAUUAUAAAUGCUGCUUUUAUUAAAGACAAGCAAAAGCAUAAAUACAGCCAAGCCCUUAAGCACUUGUUCUCUGCAACGGUUAGAAAGUGUUUGGAAAUACAAGCCAACACUUGGGAUCCAGUUUAGCUCUGUUGUUGGUGCUGGAAGAAAAGCUGGGAUGCAGAGGUGGCUUUGCUGCCUUUUUCUUGUCCCUCCUACAGUCUGACAUGGACUGUACUGGAUAUCCACAGAUUUUUCUAUGCCUUGCAGUACUUGAGGUUUAGGAACAGCCCAGCUAGAUCCUCCAAGGAUGUGUCGGGGAGAAGAGCUAUGCAGAGCACUGUUACACAGCUGCCCGUGCCACCGCGGGCUGGCUGGAGAUGCCCCAAGUCAUAGAAGACUAAAAGCUUUGCCAAAGCCCAUUCAAAAUAACCCACAGGGUGUCCCACCAAAGCAGCAGAGUGUUAGGAUAAGAGGAGGGAGCUGUUUUCCCUAAAAGUUCCUCAUGGAGAGCUGGUACAGCACCUUCCCCAUUGCUUUAGGAAAGAUGAAUUUGUUGAUUAGAGUUGUGGUGCUGUUUGGUUCUCCCAAAUCCUGGACCUAAGGAAUGGAAACUUUGAGGGGUCUCUUUUAUUCCCCUUGGGUUAAAUCUGCUCUUUUGAGUUAAGCCUAAACUUUGAAAGAGAGGUGGCGGAACUAGAAGGCAAUGCAAGAAGAAUGUUAAGGGGAGGGGGAAUUUUGUGACAGCGCAGUAAGAGAGAUGAUUUAUUUUGUCCUUCAAGCACUGUCUCUUGAAGGCUGCUAAAGCCCAUUAAAACUUCUGUCUGAAGCUAUGGUGAGAUUCACUCCCUGGAAAGGACAGAGGUUUUACCAUGGGGAGCCAGAAGUGGUGAUGGCUCUGAUUUCAUUAGCAGAGCAGUUAUCUGAGCUAAAAGGGUUUCUGCUAAAUUAUCAGGGGCCCUUGUCGCAAUUGAAGCGCUACUGUUUUGUAACCAAAGUCACUGUCGUUUGUUCGAUUUUUGAGGGUGAGCCAGAACAUCAUAUUCAGAGUCACAGAGCUGUCUUAACAGCAGGUACCAAAGGGAUUUCUGGAGAUGAUCACAUUCGCAAAUCCUCCCCAGCUCCACCUGUGUUAGUCCUUUCCUUGGACUUCUCUGAUGUUCAGCACCCCAAGGUUUAAUAUCUAAGGUUCAACACCAGAUGUAUUCAACCUCCAGAGUACCUAUGGUGCCAAGUUAGGAUGCAGUGUAUAAGCAAGACCAUUCCUUGCAUGUACAAAGCAGAGUGUGUUUCCUUGCUUGUGCUCUGUGUGCAGGUCGGGAAUUAGUCACUGUGCUGGCUCUUCUGUGUGACUUGCAGCUUUUGAAUUGUUUCUCGUGGCCCUGAGCUCUCAUGGUUCAGGGCAUACAGAGACAUGCACGAUGUAAUAAAUACUGGGUAAGUCUUGCAAGAACCCCCUUUGUCAGCGUGGUGUCACCCCAGAAGAUAUUGUACGUUCUGGAAAAGCACAAAUCCUGGCAUUAAAAUCCUCCCAUUCUGCUCAGAUCCAUCCUUUUGGCUGCCAGGUCGUGGUUCCUCCAACUGCAGAGCUUGUGGCUCCAGUUCUGCUCCGAUGACCAGCCAAGAAUGCUGCUGACCCUCACCAUUGCCACGUUCCCGUGUCUGCUCUGAGCCUGAAAACUGGCUUCUCCGUUCGUACUGGGCUACCUCCAGACAUUGCCACUGCCUGGAGGGUCCCCAGGCUCCAGCAUCAAAUUCAGCUCUAAUUGCUUCCUCCUGGUCUUCAUCACCCUGGAAUGCCAGAGGUCUGAACUGCCUUCCUGCCCAUCUGCUGUCUCCAGCCCCUGGAUGAAGCUCUCGUCUGUGUCCCUGCACUUCUUGACUUGUGUAAGGCUGCAAGUGUCUGAAUGGAAUACAAGUUGCUGAUGUUACAGCAUCUGGGGCACACGGGAAGAGCAGGAGUGGUGCAGAAAUUCCUCGUUCUCAAUCUCUCUAGCUGGUCCUGGAACACCAUUCUGUAGGCUUCUAAUUAAAAUCUUCAAAGAAGCAGAGAGGACGUAUGGGGAGCUGAGAACAGCUGAGUGAACUCUGGACACCUGCUCUCCGAUGCUUUCUUUGUCCUCAGCUUCUGUGGGCUGGGGUGUUUGCUAGCUGGUCGCUUCUGAUCACAGGAAGAACAUUUUAUACAACCACUGCUAUUAGCGAUAAUGAGAAUAAAUGAUACAAUAAUGAAAUCUUAUUAUACACUUUUCGAUGAGGGCCUUUCAUCUGAAAGAUUUCCAAGUGCUUUACAGGCUACUGAACAUAGAAAUCAUUUUACUCACCAGGGAAAUUCAGCCAGUGCAGGAACGGUGUGGGGGUAACCGUUGGAAAACAUUCAUUGAGCACGUGGGACAGUUCGGUAGGGGGAGCAGACAUACUGGAUUAAAACAAAAUCGCAGCCUAAAUUUAGGGGAAGAAGCCAGCUAGAAUGCCUUUUACAUGGAGCAUUAAACAUCUGCCCCUUGGUUAAUACCUGUUGUUUGGCUCAGACAGAUAUGAAAUUUUAUGGUCCUGGCUGUUAUUUUCUCAGAGGAGCUCAAGUGCUUGCCUGUCCUUUAAUUCUUGGUGCUGACUCCCUUUGGUUGCUUGGAGGAUGGCAACCCACCCCAGUUUCACAUUCCAUAGGGAGAAGGAAGCUUCUGCAGCUGUGGUCGCCUUUUUAACCCUGCCUGCAAAGAGGAAUCAGUGCUGGCACAGAGAGAAGAGCGUUGCUCCCUAAAAAGCCAAGUCACAAGUAUUUCUCUCCCUCCUGUACUGUGGAUUUUAUUUUCCCUUGAGAUCUCACAUCCAAGUACUGACCAGUGCUUGACCCUGCUUCGUUUAUGAGAGGUCGACAAGAUAAAAAUCCACAGCAGAAAAUUUCCUGAGCAUAUUUAUCUUUUGUAAAAGGGAAAAAAUCAACACAAAACCCUAACCUCUAAAGACACCAGCUGCCUCCUGCUUAUUAAAUGGUCCUUGUUUCUGUUUAUAGAAGUAGAUUGAGUAGGGCUAGCCAUGGUGCUCCCUGUGAACAGGAGCCGUGUGCGUUCCCCAGUGAUAUAUGAGGUUAAUAAUAUUCGCGGUACAAACAUUAUGCAAAGCAGGACAUCCGUUCUGCUGGUUGGCACCCAAGGAGCGAUCGGCAAAGACGACAACGCCAUCCAUCUCCAGGCUCUCUGUGCUCCAUAGCUGCCUGGGCUGACACUGGCCCUGCUGAACGCUGUGUGCUGAGCACAGCAGCCGUCUCCUGAGCGCUGGGCUUGUGUUGAAAGCUGGAUCUGUCACUGAGAACCCAGUAUCUUGAGCUCUUUGGGUUGCAAACAGUUUGCAUUGGUGAAAAGAUUGUGCCUGCUAAUAACACAUGAAGCUCUUGCAAAACCUGUUGCAUCAUGGGGCUGGGUGCAAGGCCUUUGGAAGGAGGAGGGAAGGGAAUUCCCUGCCUUUGCUGCUUUGAUGGUCUGAAGAGGAGCAUAGUGGUCUCUACAGGUCUCUAUAAAAGCCAUGAAAUUCUAGAGGGAAACAAAAAUGAGUAUUUGGGGCCCAGUCCAUGGUGUGCCAUGGUGGACAUGGUUGGACUGUGAGAGCUUAUAGCCUGGAGGAGAUCGCAGAGGGAGCAGCAUUUGUAGACAACUUGAGUGUGACCUUUCCUGACACAGCAGAGGACUGAAAACCCUAUCACAGAUUGACUCAUUCCGCAGGAAAAAAACCUUCAGUCUUACAGGACUCUGGCAGCAGGUGACAGUACGAACGACAGGAAGAGGACACGUCGGGCAGUGUGGCAGCUGUCACCGGAGGUAUUUAAGAACAGAUUAGACAACUCUGACAAACGUGUGAGGUGUUGCAGCAAGUUGAGGGGACAAGAUGUCUCUCAAGUCCUUCCCAGCCCUGCCUGCUGCUGCCUGUGAUCAACAUUGCCGUUGUGAGCACUUACACACUGAGGCCCUUACUUGUCCUGCCGGAGAGCAGAAAUAGUCUGGGCAAUCAAUAAUUCAGAGUAAUUUGUCUGCCCAGGGCGAGUGGAGCCCAGCUCUGGGUACGGAGGGCUGGCUGAGGGUGGUCCUGCACCCACGGAGGGGAUGAGAGCUGCUCUGCAGGCUCUUUUGGAGGCAGAGCUGGGUGAGGAGCUGCUGAAGCCGAUGUAUGAGCUGUUUGGAAUAGCCACCUGCUUUCAGAUAACCAAGUUGGAACCCGUGAUUCAGAGCAGGGACUGGUUACACACGGAGCUCCCUCCCUUUGCUCCACAGAGGCUGUGGUGGGGAGAGCUGCCUGUACAGAUAAUUAACAGCAACGGUUGUUGGGGAGGAAAAGUGUUUGGGUAUUUGAGAGGUUUUGAGUCAGGGAUCACUCUGAAGAGUUCCUGCCUGUAAAUAGCCAAGGGCAAGAUGGAAAACGAGACAUAAGAAACUAUCAUGAAAAUGAUGCCUUAACCCAAAUUUAUCUAGGAUCAGUGCUGGGCUAUCAGAGGGAGCAGUUAUUUGUGUUAGGAGUCAGGAAAGCUAUAAACAAGCAAAGAUGAGUUUAAGAAACCCAAAGCCAUCCAGUCUGGAUUUUCUGGCAGCUGUUCCAGGAGUGGGGAUCAUCAGCAACCCAUUUCCACCACAGUUGGAGGACCGUAGCAUUUCCGAGCCCUUCAUUCCUGCGGUGGAUCUCACAAAUCAGCCAGAAGAUUCAAGGAGUAAAUGACUAAUGCAGAGCAAUAACAGGCUCUUUUUUUUUUUUCCUUAGGAGCUCUAGGGUAAAAAGAAGCUUGAAUUGAUGCAUGUAGUAGAUUAUUUACUGUAAGCUAUUCACCUGCCUCAUCUUAGACUAACUAGUUGAAUGACUUGCUUGUGCUUAAAAUAAGAGUUUAUUUUAACCUAAGCACGUUGUAGAAAGCCUCAAACCCCCCGUGCCGUGUUUGGCUAAAUACAUUUUCUUGGUAUAUAUACAAGGUUCUAAUUGAAGUUUUGUCAGACACUCAAUUAUAUGUCUCUCAUCUCCAUCUCUCAAUAUUUAUCACCCAUUUUCACAUCACUCUAGCCUUACUCUGAGCAAUCACUCAGACUUGGCAUGAUAUUUCCCCCUGAAAUGGAUUUAAUCCACCAAUGAUGGUUUUAAACCUUCAGAGCAUCAGUAAAGGUUGUUUCUGGUUGCCUUUAAAAUGGCUUUUCAGCCCCCGCCUGCCCCUGCCACAUGCCCUUUGCUGGGGGCCCAUUUCCCGGCAUGGCUCCCAUCCUUUGGCUCUGGCCAUGCAGGGACUGGAGGGAGAACAUCCCAUCACACCCUUACCCAUGGGUGGUCUUGGGAUGGAGCCGUUGCUGAUAGAGGUUGCACCGUCACAUCUUGGCCCCAGCAUUGGCCACAAGUGUUUACCCUGUUGCAGCCACAGUUGGGUCCGCUGGAGUUGGUUUCCAUCAGAGAAAAGCAGUGUUUCCAUGAUAACAUUUGUGGCAGCUGCUGGCUUGGGUUUCCUGGGAUAAACAUGUCUUCCCAAGACUCUCCUCCUGUGCCCCAAGGUCUUGGAAGUCUUUCCUGGCUGGCGACAGGACCGUGGUUUGUCUGUGGUUGGUGUGAAGGGCUCCCUGGGAGUGGUGUGAGGGUGACUCCACUCCGUGACUGCACAUUCACCGUUCUCUGGGCUGCUUGAACCUUUGUAUUGUGGUACCAAGUGAGUGGUUCAUCCUCAUAUCUUGUAUGUGUGAAGCAGGGUGCCAGAGAGACAUGCUGGCUGGGGUCUGCAACACUGUUGCAGGACUCAGAAAUGCCAUUUCCAGUCCUGCUGCUCACCUGCAAGUUCUCAUCCUUUGGAGGAAAUGGUGAUUAGCAUCUCUCAUGGCCUAUAUUUUCAUACCAGACUUUAUAGUUCUUACUUAAUGGUGCUUAUAGGUACUCCAGAUGACAGCGGGGACAUGCCAGUGUCCUGGGGAUCAGUGGCAGCAAGGACCCCUCUGUCUGUCUGGGGCUGUUUGCUGUCCCUGGGAGGAGGGGACAUGGGGCAGGAGCUGCCAGGAAGGGCAGCUGCAGAGAGCAAAGAGCAGGGCGAUCUGUGGGCAUCACUGUGGACGCGUGCUGUGUCAACUGUGCUAAUUCAUUUAGCUGAAUGAGAAGCAUUUAUUAUAUGUCGGGGGAGUGUGAUGAAUGGGAGCUCAGAUUUUCCCCUGUAUUAUUUCAGCUCUCUGGUCUGUGGGUGAUUUAUUCAGUAGCAUUUAUGGUGUUACUAGUCUAAAACCAAAGGGGAAAUUUAUUCAACCCUUUCCUGCCUUUCUUUAUUUUCAUGGUCUGUUUAUCAUAUUUGUUUUCUUUAUUUUUUUUCCUUUGGUUUAAAGUCUUCGUUGCUUUUUGGCUAGAUGGAUUACCUUCGUGCAUCAGGCAGCUGCUUUUCUGCUGUUCAGCUCUCCCAAACAAGGGCAGCUUUUCCAGGGGUUUCAAAUGCCCAGCUUGGAUGAUGGGCUCUUUCAGAAAGUCCCAUGUGUGACCGGAGGAGCUGCUGUGCAUCAAGCUUUUCUGGAAGGCCGGCCCCAGCGGCUGCGUAUGGGUGGCACAGAGGGAAGGCAUGUUUGAGCCACUAACCAUAGAUGUUUGACAUCCCUGCUUAGAAGGAGAGAGGUUUCUUCUGAGCGUGAUGCAGAGCUCCUAAAUUCAUCUCCUGCUGAUCAAUCUAAUGGAUUAAAAGGAGCCUAGAGCACAACUCACCCUUUUCAUGGUAAGUUGUACACCGUGAAUACCACUCUGCACUGGCCUUUGCAAGGUAGAACACCCUCUGUACAGGGAGGGUAUAAAAGCAUGAACUGAAACCAAUUCCACUAAGAUGAUGUGGGAUAGAUUUCCCGUAACAUCCUUGUGAGGCAGGAGAAUUACCAUUCCCCUUCCUUUAUUGAGAAGGGAAAUGGAGGCCCAGGUGAACAGCCUUUCUCAGGUUUGCUGAUGAGAGCUGAGAUGUGCUUGAGUUGUCAUCCGUCCUUCCCUCCUCCCUUGGUAUGUGCUGCAUGGGACCUGUGACGAUCUGAUCUGCCUCCCACCUCUCUCUCCUUCACUCUGGGUGAUGGCUCAUCCUGGACUCCGUCCGCCUGGUCCCGCAGCACAGCCUCUUCGCUCUCUCCUUCGAGAAGCUGUUUCUGCUCUGCAGUGGGCUGCAGGGAUUUUUGUCCACACAGAAGAGCGAUGCUCCAGUUCUGCAGGCAGAGAUGAGCCAGUCUGCAGUCCUGCCUGCUGCAGGCAGUCGGCUUCUCUCCUAAUGCUGCUGCUUUUUGAUAGAGAUUCAAUUCAACCAUUUUAAGAUGGACACGAAAGAGCAGCACUGCAGUGCAUAAAAGCCAGAGAGGGACAAAGUAAGGAGUCAGGAUAUGACCUGUUCCUCAAAUUGCUCAUAUUGUUGCUUUGUCUUCAUGUUUCUCAAGUGAAUAAACCAAGGUCGUGAUCAUGAAAAGAACAAAUAAAUUAAAUCCCAGUAUCCUGAAGGCUGCCUGUGUGGGUUGGUUCAGUUAACUUGCUCCAGUGUGAGGGCCCAGUGUCACCUGUCCCUGGGGGGCAGGACCUCCAGUGUUUGGCUGCUGGCUGCCUCCAGAAGUGCAGCAAGCGGACAGCAGUGAAAAAGAGGGGGUAGUUCCAGGAGAAGGAAUUACAUACUACAAGGCAGUGAAAUUUCAGCCCUUCUGAGCUCGAUGAUGCUCUUUGUUAUCCACCUGGCCUAGGAGCUCAGCUGCUGUUCCUCAUUGCAUGUGUGGCUUGCAGUGGAGGCCAAUGAGCCAAGUUUCCACCAAAGCCUGGUCUCUGGCUUGUAGUUUCGCAAUAGGGUUUUGUGGGUGCAAACCAAGAACCUUUCAUUUGAGUCAAAAUUGAAAACUGAAAACAUUUUGCUCCGUGUAGCUUCCCUUAGGCCAUUCAGUGCUGAAUUGCUCUUGGGAACUUGUGCAAUAAAGUGGUUUGGGAUUUCUGAAACAAGAUAAAAGACCUUUCCCACACGUGGGAGAGGAAUAGUACCCCCCAAAAAAAUCAGUCUUACAACAUAUUUGCUCUUUUUUCAAAAACUAUGGUCUGUUUCUGCUUUCUGCUUGCUGAGAUCUGAUUAAAGGCCCUUCACAACCCUCUGUCAGACCAUGCAGUGAGACCUGCUGCUCCCUCAGCACCAGGCAGACCUUUGCAAAAUUAUGAUGUGUCCUUCUGUCCUCAGGUCACUAAAACGUGCAUUAUUUCCAGCCUCAGCAGUCAAAAUGCAAUGAGCUGCUCACGUCCCAUGGCAAAUCCCCAGGCACUGAGAUCUUCAGGCUCCUUCCUGCUGAGUUCAUUUGAGUUUCUCCUGGCUGGUAUCUGCCAGAUGUGGCCCCAAGGCACAUGUGGACAGUACUUGCAAUAAACUGCUUCUGGGUAUCCUCAUAGCAGGAGAAUGCCAAGGAAAUGUGGGAAUGUGAAUCUGGGGAAGGUGCACAAUGCAGGAGGCCACAGCCUCAUGUGUGGGAUGAGCCUCCUGAGCUGCCCCUGGAGUCAGUAGGCAAGGGAGGAGGGGUGUUUGGCUGUGGGACAGUCUGGAAAGCUGGAGGGGGGAAAUUCUCUUUUCCAACCCAUAAAACAGCUGAUUUCUUUGUGGCUGUAACUACCAUGCUGUAACAUUUUUUGUAAAAAUGAGAGACAGCAAGCCUGGGAUAAUCUGAGGAAGAGAGGUUGUGGCAGGGAGGAGAGGGAGGGCUCUUAAAUCCCUCCUUAGCGUUUCUCCUGCGUGCAGGGGAGCAAGCAAAUGUCCUUGUUACAGCAUUGCUGACUAUGCUAGCGCCUCAUCUUUCCAGCAAAAUAAAUAGAAGAAUAAAAUUAAGCUGCGAGGGAUUGGAAUAUUUUGUAAAUAACAAUUAAGAGACAAAUCCAUUUUGCUAGGCAUUCCUAAUUGUCUCCUUUCUGCGUGCAUCUGGGUUAUCUCUUGCAGAUAAGCAGAAGGGUUGUGCGUGUCUGUGUGUGCGUGGCGGGGGAGUCACGGAUGGGUUACCCAGGGUAACCCAUGGGUGCAGCAGGUACAGGGGCUCCCUUGGGUACCCAGUACAUUGGGGUGUUCGUCCAGUCCAUCUGUUGCAGGGCAUCUUCCCCGGAGCAGAGCUGUGUGUUGUGUGCAGGUCACUGUCCAGGAGAUGGCCCAGGAGGAGCUUUGGGCAGGCUGGUGCUUGGAUGCUUCAGUCCCCAAAGCCAGGGUAAGCAAAGGGCUCCCUGUUGGCAUCACUCUGCUGUGGGGAAGACUCAGCAUCCUCCUCUGCACAGAAGUCUCGCAGGUGCAAAGCAAAGUCUCCUCCCAACUUCUUGUGGGCAAGAGACCUUAGGCAGCAUUUGAGCUCAUUGCAAAGGGUAAAAGACAAAUACACUCACCACCUCCCUCAUCAGUCCCAUCCUGUGUAUAAUUUACGAUACAUCGUGUUACACUUUUAUUACUACACCAUUUCUCAAGCUCUUGGCUGGCAGGGUUCUCAGAAGGCAAUGCAGGAAGGCUUUUGUAUUGAGACCUUAAACAGGAGGAGCGAUUCCUUGUGAGCCUUUGUGUCUAUAUGUGGAUUUAACAUGCAGUUCCUAAAAUAAGCUUUAAUAAAAUGUGGUUUUGUGUGUUAAUAAUUUCUAAGGCUUUUUUUUUUUUUUCAAUGGAAUUGAUACUGGAAAAAAAGGCUCAAAAGAAAUAGUAGAGGAAAUGAGAGUCACCCCAGUCAUCUGCAUAUAAUUGCUUCCAGUAUAGAUUGCACUUGUGUUUGAAUUAUAGGGCAAUUAGUCUGUCAGGCUGGUAAGUAUUAUACAAGACCCCUGGAAUUUCCUUGGAAGCUCUCAAUACAUCUAAGCCUUGAAAUCUAGAGAGGUUUUAAUACAAAAAGAUGUGGUACUGGGCUCUGCUAAUACCGUGUAUUGAUUUACUGCCCAUAGCAGAUGUUACAGGGCAGCUGACAAAUUGGUGACAUACAAAUAUUGAGGCCCUUGAAACAUGGUUCUGGAGUGAGACUUGUGCGGAUGACAGAAAUAGUUCUUCUCAGGAACAGGAGCUUCCCUCGCAAUAAAUAGCACAUGCUGUGUGCAUGUGCGCGCAGGAAAUCUCCCCUCGCUCCAGAGGCAGGAGCCUGGUCCCAGUGCAGGGCUGAGCCACUCGCUCCUCAGAGCUCCCCGAAGUGUGGCUGGCAUCACACUAGAAUGCCUGAAUUAACAAAAUCUGGGAAGUUUUGGUGGAAAGAUAUAUUUAAUGCCUGGCCUCAUUCUGACAUGAACGAUAACAUAAGUGCCAAGGCAGGUUAAAAAUAGGCAGCAUCUCCCGCAAAGUUCAGGAGACCUGGAGCUGCAGGAAGAAAAAUCCAGCUCAGAAACAGAUGCUGAGGGCAGGGACUGAGUUUAUUUCUUCUCAAAAAAUGGUAUUUCACAUCUUUUAACACAUAUGUCUGUAUGAGGUUCGUCUAAUGUAUUAGUAGCAACGGAUAGAUUACUUCUUAAAGCUUUCUCUUCCUGGUAAUGGACCAGCUUAAAUCCUGCCUGGGCUUGUGAGUGACCCUGCUUGCAUGGCUGGAGUGGAUCAUUCAGAGCCUCGUAACAGGCUUUGCAGCACCUGAGCAACCUUCCUGAUUUCUGCGGUUUCCUCUAUUGCUUGUCCCCCUGCCCUGUCUCAUCUGUUCCGAUGUCAAGCUCUUUGGAGCAGAGUUUCUCUUUAGUGUAGCUUCUGGCACAGGGUUGGGCCUUCACUUCAGCUUGGCUGUUUCUAAGGCACUGCUGUAAGGCUCACACCAUAUUUGCUUCUGGAGCUCCUGUUCCUUGUCCUUUGCUUUAUCCAAAUUAAUGUCCCACUCUAAGCACCAAGGCUUCAGGCUCAGCUCUGAGCACUUAGCACGACCGCAGAAGGCUCGUUCCCUCCAGUCUGGGGAGGCUUCAUGUGAGCCAUCAUAAAUAGCCAGUUCUCCCUUUCUGUUUCUCUACCUGCUGCCCUUGGGAAGAGACCUCCCAAGAGCAAGGCAGAGAGAAGUGCGUUCUCUGCUCUCAAGCAGUAAUCACACUGGCAAAGGGAAGAGAAGUUCAACAUCCAGCCAGGAGUCUGAAGGAAAGCCUGCCCAUGUGCUGGCAGGCUCCCAGAGACUUGUCUCUGUCUGCUCCAAGGUGUGGACAUGAGGGAUAUUUAGUAAGAGUUGUUGCUGGUGAUACUUGCUAUUAGUUUUCUGCUCUAGGA
Columba livia (rock pigeon) is the source of this 11251-nucleotide long non-coding RNA. RefSeq lists it as uncharacterized. The transcript is spliced from 4 exons. The record is from RefSeq and is a predicted model, not a curated record. Lineage: Eukaryota; Metazoa; Chordata; Aves; Columbiformes; Columbidae.